GAACAGGAAGGUGGCAAUGCCAGAUGAGAGAGCAACAAGUGCUGAAAGGGUGACAGCCCUGGAAACAGCACUCACAGGAUUUGCCGAAAGAAAAACAGACACGGUGGUGACACCAUCGGUUGGGCUGACUUUUGACUCUAUAAUCGAGGCCUAUGAUUUUUACAAUCUUUAUUCCUGGGAGACAGGGUUUGGCAUCAGAUAUGCAAAGAGCAGAACCAAUGUCAAAGGAACGAGAUGCAUGCAGGAGUUUGUGUGUUGCUGCUCGGGCAAGCCAAAAGAGGCGAACUCAACAUCAUCACGGUGUCAAUGCCAAGCCAUGAUAAGACUCUUGCGUAUAGAUGACGAUGGCUGGUACAUCAACGAAUUCAGGUCCAGCCACAAUCACUCGAUGUUGAACACAUGUGCUGAGAAACUCCACUUCCCUUCAUAUAGGCAUAUUGACAAAUAUACGAGAGAGAUAGUAUCUCAACUUAGAGAGAAUAAUGUGAACCUGAGCAAAGUUUACAACAUUCUUGCAACUUUUUUUGGAAGGGUAGAAAACGUUCCGUUCACCAAAAGAUGCUUGAGGACACUGUGUGGGAAGCUGAGUAGGGAGCAGGCGGACGAUGAUGUACAGAAGACUAUGGCCAUCUUUUCAGAAUUGAAAGUCCAAGACGGCGAGUUUACUUACAAUGUGCAGGUAGACGAUGAAAGUAGGAUACGCACUCUCAUGUGGACAAAUGGGCGUAGCAAAAAACAAUACCAUCACUUUGGCGAUGUGGUCACAUUCGACAUAACAUACAAGACCAAUCUAUACGAUAUGCCAUUCGGAAUUUUUGUUGGCGUGAACAACCACUUCCAGAGUGUGUUGUAUGCUGGUGUGCUCAUGCGAGAUGAGAAGGUCGACACUUUCAAAUGGAUUUUUGAUGAGUUUGUGAAGAUGAUGGGAGGGAAAAGACCAAUUACAAUUUUGACAGACCAAGCCAGGGCGAUGGAAGUCGCUAUUGAGGAAAUAUAUCCAGAUGCAACACACAGAUGGUGCAAGUGGCACAUCCUGAAGAAGGCCAAAGAGAGCCUGGGGUCUAAUUACACAAAGAAGUCUGAUUUCAGGGCAGAAUUCCACAAGUUGGUCCACGAGAUGCUCACCAUCGAGGAGUUCGAGGACGGGUGGGCAGCGUUGCUUGAGAAGUACUCACUGACUAAGAACACAUACCUGACGCAAAUUU
This 1205-nucleotide ribosomal RNA is filed under the name Triticum aestivum (bread wheat). RNAcentral describes it as "partial small subunit ribosomal RNA". Lineage: Eukaryota; Viridiplantae; Streptophyta; Magnoliopsida; Poales; Poaceae. The record is from RNAcentral.